Long non-coding RNA from Daphnia pulicaria, 1017 nucleotides. RefSeq lists it as uncharacterized. The transcript has 5 exons. The record is from RefSeq and is a predicted model, not a curated record. Lineage: Eukaryota; Metazoa; Arthropoda; Branchiopoda; Diplostraca; Daphniidae.
UAAUCUCUCCAUUUCCAGGGCGGUGCAGUGUAAGAGGGCAUGUUCAGUUGUUUCUGGCUCUUCGCACUCAAGGCAGUUUGGGUUUUCUUGUGGCAUCAGUCUGGCCAUCUGUGCCUUUAGUCUGUUGUGUCCGGUUCUCAGCCUGAAGAGUAUUUGUGUUAUCUUCCUAGACUUGUGCUGGUGCCAUUUGAGGGAUCCGGUAGUGCUUGUAGAUGGCUGUUUGCUCGGAGAUUGAUAAUGGGUUAUUUGAUCUGUUUGAGGAUUCGUUGGAUGAGCUUUCUUGUGAAGCUAUGGUGUCUGCUCUCUCAUUCCCCGGGAUGCCAACAUGGCUUGGGAUCCAACAGAUCCUGGUUUUGGUGAUGCUAGUGCUUUUACUACUGACUUGGAGUCAGUAUAGACGAUUAGUUCCUGGAUGUCUUGAGGGAGAUUGUACACUAUUUCCAUUGCCCUGUGGAUUCCGUAGGCUUCUGCCGUAAGGAUGGAUGAACCCUCAGUGAGUGUACCAGCUUCUUCGAUGUUUAACGUUGGGAGUACUACUGCAUAGGUCGUAUUUUUUGUUUCUUUAUUCAGUGAUCCAUCCGUGUACGCUUCUGUUCCGUUUUCUGUCUGGGCCUUAUAUUCUUGAAAGAGCGCCCUGGCUUUCGUCUGGAGGUUGGCUAAUAUUCUUCCGCUGCGGUUGGGAUGGGUGCUUCGUGUGUCCCAUAGGCCAUGUCUUGCGUUGUAGUCGCCGCAGAAUAUGGUGUUGUUGCUGGUCAAUCUAUGCAAUUGGGUCAAUUCAUCCUCGUCGCACGCCUGGCCAUUUGGUCUGGCAGCUGAAGUUGUUUGAACUGGAGGGAUUUGUGAAUUAAUAUUGCCACGCCUCCUCCUACCUGGCCUACGCGAUUUUUAUUUACUGGAUAGUAUUGUUUGAAUUUUACGCUGAAUGAAUCUCUCCAGAACGUUUCGCAUAGUGUGACUAUGUGGGGUUUGUGAAGGUGCAAAUGUGCUUUGAAUUCUAUUAAAUUAGACUUUGUGAGA